GUCAUUCCAGAUGCUCUGAUCCUAAUAAUCAUUUUGAUACUCUGUUCUAGUUUACUAAGAAGAGUCACCAAUUUUGUUUCUGUGGUUUGGUAUGAAAUAAGGUGGCAGAAACAGUACUCUCCAAAUAUCCAUGCACUCCUGACAUUUUUCAGCAGCCCAUAUUACUAGUUCUGGCCCAGGGAUUGGGAGAAGAAGAGACACGUGUCAUCUCUGAGUUGAGGCUGCUAAGAGCUGGUACAACUUUCCAUUCUUCUCUUCCCCUCUAGCAGUGACCUGAGAAGCUACAUAUUGACAUGGCGCUACCAUGGGUGGAGGAGCCUGCAUUGCUGAAUCACAGGAUGAAGGCGAAUCCCUGCCAGCCUCCAUCCAUCUCUGGGGUAUGACUCUGUCACCCAGGCUGGAGUGCAGUGGAGUCAUCACAGCUCACUGCUGCCGUGGCCUCCUGGGUUCAAGGGAUCCUCCCACCACGGCCUCCCAAAUAGCUGGAACUACAGGGUGCUUAGCAGAAUCCUCAGCUCACAGGAUGAAUAAAUGGAUACUAAAUGACGCACAAAUAAUCUUCACACACAACCAUCAACACACGGAAAGACAGCAGGAUGUCCAGACCCCAAGGUAACAAACAGAAAAAGAAAAAAAAAACGGCAUUAUGAUAGAAACAGAAAAUGUAACAGUGGAGUGCAGAAAAUACAAAAAAAAGGGAAAAAAUAAAUAGAAAAUCUUCAAAGAGGCAAUCUGCUUAAAUAUUCAAGAACUGGAAACAGUAAAAGUGAACAGGUUUUUAUUGAGCAUGUCAAUAAAAUGUUUG
Molecule: long non-coding RNA, 805 nt
Organism: Pongo pygmaeus (Bornean orangutan)
Lineage: Eukaryota; Metazoa; Chordata; Mammalia; Primates; Hominidae
Exons: 4
Source: RefSeq, a predicted model, not a curated record